Molecule: ribosomal RNA, 425 nt
Filed under: uncultured bacterium
Lineage: Bacteria
Description: partial 16S ribosomal RNA
Rfam family: Bacterial small subunit ribosomal RNA
Source: RNAcentral
GUGGGGAAUCUUAGACAAUGGGCGCAAGCCUGAUCUAGCCAUGCCGCGUGAGCGAUGAAGGCCUUAGGGUUGUAAAGCUCUUUCGUGGGGGAAGAUAAUGACUGUACCCCAAGAAGAAGCCCCGGCUAACUCCGUGCCAGCAGCCGCGGUAAUACGGAGGGGGCUAGCGUUGUUCGGAAUUACUGGGCGUAAAGCGCACGUAGGCGGACGGGAAAGUCAGGGGUGAAGUCCCGGGGCUCAACCCCGGAACUGCCUUUGAAACUCCCAGUCUUGAGUUCGAGAGAGGUGAGUGGAAGUCCGAGUGUAGAGGUGAAAUUCGUAGAUAUUCGGAGGAACACCAGUGGCGAAGGCGGCUCACUGGCUCGAUACUGACGCUGAGGUGCGAAAGCGUGGGGAGCAAACAGGAUUAGAAACCCUAGUAGUCC